RNAcentral lists this transfer RNA (86 nucleotides) under Promethearchaeota archaeon. RNAcentral describes it as "Candidatus Lokiarchaeota archaeon (microbial mat metagenome) tRNA-Ser". It matches the Rfam family "tRNA". Rfam says of the family: Transfer RNA (tRNA) molecules are approximately 80 nucleotides in length. Lineage: Archaea; Promethearchaeati; Promethearchaeota. The record is from RNAcentral.
GCUGAGGUCUCCUAGUCUGGCAGGGAGCUAGCCUGCUAAGUUAGUGUGCGAAGCACGCGAGGGUUCAAAUCCCUCCCUCAGCGCCA